AUAACGGCGUCGAGCGGCGGACGGGUGAGUAAUGCCUAGGAAAUUGCCCUGAUGUGGGGGAUAACCAUUGGAAACGAUGGCUAAUACCGCAUGAUGCCUACGGGCCAAAGAGGGGGACCUUCGGGCCUCUCGCGUCAGGAUAUGCCUAGGUGGGAUUAGCUAGUUGGUGAGGUAAGGGCUCACCAAGGCGACGAUCCCUAGCUGGUCUGAGAGGAUGAUCAGCCACACUGGAACUGAGACACGGUCCAGACUCCUACGGGAGGCAGCAGUGGGGAAUAUUGCACAAUGGGCGCAAGCCUGAUGCAGCCAUGCCGCGUGUGUGAAGAAGGCCUUCGGGUUGUAAAGCACUUUCAGUCGUGAGGAAGGUGGUGUAGUUAAUAGCUGCAUUAUUUGACGUUAGCGACAGAAGAAGCACCGGCUAACUCCGUGCCAGCAGCCGCGGUAAUACGGAGGGUGCGAGCGUUAAUCGGAAUUACUGGGCGUAAAGCGCAUGCAGGUGGUUUGUUAAGUCAGAUGUGAAAGCCCGGGGCUCAACCUCGGAAUAGCAUUUGAAACUGGCAGACUAGAGUACUGUAGAGGGGGGUAGAAUUUCAGGUGUAGCGGUGAAAUGCGUAGAGAUCUGAAGGAAUACCGGUGGCGAAGGCGGCCCCCUGGACAGAUACUGACACUCAGAUGCGAAAGCGUGGGGAGCAAACAGGAUUAGAUACCCUGGUAGUCCACGCCGUAAACGAUGUCUACUUGGAGGUUGUGGCCUUGAGCCGUGGCUUUCGGAGCUAACGCGUUAAGUAGACCGCCUGGGGAGUACGGUCGCAAGAUUAAAACUCAAAUGAAUUGACGGGGGCCCGCACAAGCGGUGGAGCAUGUGGUUUAAUUCGAUGCAACGCGAAGAACCUUACCUACUC
This 902-nucleotide ribosomal RNA is filed under the name Vibrio sp. RNAcentral's name for it is "bacterial SSU rRNA". It matches the Rfam family "Bacterial small subunit ribosomal RNA", at positions 82 to 980 of the family's 1533-position model. The record is from RNAcentral. Lineage: Bacteria; Pseudomonadati; Pseudomonadota; Gammaproteobacteria; Vibrionales; Vibrionaceae.